GUCCUUUCAUAUUUCGUCACAAGUAACUAUAUUACUGCUGUUGGGUAACCAACUAUGGCGAUAAACGUUGCGUGGAAUAAACGUUGCGGACCCGGGGGCGGUACCCGGCGCCUCCACCAUAAACACGGAUUUUCCCUUUCCGUGUUUAUGAUGGGGGCGAAAUAGGUUCGACGCGCGCAGUAAAGAUGUAAUUUUCGCUCGGCAUGAUACCACCGUUACCGGGGUCAAUUUUACAAAUGCAAACGAUAAUAACGAAGCAUUUGCCGUAGCUGCCUAACAGCCGCUACACGGGGUUCGGAGGGGCACCUGGCAACAGAAGCCCCUCCACU
RNAcentral lists this transfer-messenger RNA (329 nucleotides) under Sneathiella sp. It matches the Rfam family "Alphaproteobacteria transfer-messenger RNA". From Rfam's summary of the family: Bacterial tmRNA, also known as 10Sa RNA or SsrA, is named for its dual tRNA and mRNA-like properties. Its role is to liberate the mRNA from a stalled ribosome. To accomplish this part of the tmRNA is used as a reading frame that ends in a translation stop signal. The record is from RNAcentral. Lineage: Bacteria; Pseudomonadati; Pseudomonadota; Alphaproteobacteria; Sneathiellales; Sneathiellaceae.